Acanthopagrus latus (yellowfin seabream) is the source of this 384-nucleotide long non-coding RNA. RefSeq lists it as uncharacterized. The record is from RefSeq and is a predicted model, not a curated record. NCBI's taxonomy places the organism in Eukaryota, Metazoa, Chordata, Actinopteri, Spariformes, Sparidae. The transcript has 3 exons.
GGAAACAAAUAAGGGGGAGAGGGAAGCGGGAGCUGGCAGGCAGAGGUCAACGGGAGGACUUCUACAUUUCAUCCGGCACACGUUGAGAGAUGGAGGUGCCACGGAGUGACAGUCUCCGACCCCUAGGAGACAUUGAACCCAUCUGAUCAUCCCUCAGAGGAAACGUCCUCCAUUGAAAGCAUACAUCUGUGGUCUGUGCUGUAUAUCUGUGGAGGCUGACAAAUUGGCUCUCCGCCAAUGAUGAAGUGACAUCAUAUAUAAUGCCACCUCUGUUGGCCAUUAAUCAUGUCAUGCGUCUCUCACUGGAUGAACCCCAGGGAGUGCCGAGGGGAUCAGAGGACUGAACUGCACUUGAACUGGAAAAUAUGCACCAGAGCAGCCAGA